RNAcentral lists this unclassified non-coding RNA (357 nucleotides) under soil metagenome. Its description in RNAcentral is "partial contains 5.8S ribosomal RNA, internal transcribed spacer 2, and large subunit ribosomal RNA". The stretch from base 1 to 120 matches the Rfam family "5.8S ribosomal RNA", at positions 35 to 154 of the family's 154-position model. The record is from RNAcentral.
GAUGAAGAACAUAGUGAAAUGCGAUAAGUAAUGUGAAUUGCAGAAUUCAGUGAAUCAUCGAAUCUUUGAACGCACAUUGCGCCCGCUGGUAUUCCGGCGGGCAUGCCUGUUCGAGCGUCAUUUCAACCCUCAAGCUCUCCGGAGUUUGGUGUUGGGGCGCCUGGGGCUUUUCGACCUCAGGGCCCUCAAGUCCAUCGGCGGGACCGCCAGGACACUGAGCGCAGUAGUAUUAUUUCGCUCGGUAGGAUCUUCCACGGCGGGUCGAUCUGGCCGCUAAACCCCCCAAUUCUCACCAAAGGUUGACCUCGGAUCAGGUAGGAAUACCCGCUGAACUUAAGCAUAUCAAUAAGCGGAGGA